GACGAACGCUGGCGGCGCGCCUAACACAUGCAAGUCGAACGGAGCUGAGAGAAGCUUGCUUUUCUUAGCUUAGUGGCGAACGGGUGAGUAACGCGUGAGUAACCUGCCCUGGAGUGGGGGACAACAGUUGGAAACGACUGCUAAUACCGCAUAAGCCCACGAUCCGGCAUCGGAUUGAGGGAAAAGGAUUUAUUCGCUUCAGGAUGGACUCGCGUCCAAUUAUCUAGUUGGUGAGGUAACAGCCCACCAAGGCGACGAUUGGUAGCCGGACUGAGAGGUUGAACGGCACUAUUGGGACUGAGACAAGGAGCAGAUUCCUACGGGAGGAAGCAGUGGGGGAUAUUGCACAAUGGGGGAAACACUGAUGCAGCGGCGUCGCGUGGAGGAAGAAGGUGUUAGGAUUGUAAACUCCUGUCGAUAGGGAAGAUAAUGACGGUAACUACCAAGAAAGCACCGGCUAACUACGUG
Molecule: ribosomal RNA, 468 nt
Filed under: uncultured bacterium
Lineage: Bacteria
Description: partial 16S ribosomal RNA
Rfam family: Bacterial small subunit ribosomal RNA
Source: RNAcentral